RNAcentral lists this ribosomal RNA (469 nucleotides) under uncultured bacterium. Its description in RNAcentral is "bacterial SSU rRNA". It matches the Rfam family "Bacterial small subunit ribosomal RNA", at positions 335 to 800 of the family's 1533-position model. The record is from RNAcentral.
ACUCCUACGGGAGGCAGCAGUGAGGAAUAUUGGACAAUGGAGGCAACUCUGAUCCAGCCAUGCCGCGUGCAGGAAGCUGCCCUAUGGGUUGUAAACUGCUUUUAUACAGGAAGAAACCACUCUACGUGUAGAGUUUCUGACGGUACUGUAAGAAUAAGGAUCGGCUAACUCCGUGCCAGCAGCCGCGGUAAUACGGAGGAUCCAAGCGUUAUCCGGAAUCAUUGGGUUUAAAGGGUCCGUAGGUGGAUGAUUAAGUCAGAGGUGAAAGUCUGCAGCUCAACUGUAGAAUUGCCUUUGAUACUGGUUAUCUUGAGUUAUUAUGAAGUAGUUAGAAUAUGUAGUGUAGCGGUGAAAUGCAUAGAUAUUACAUAGAAUACCAAUUGCGAAGGCAGAUUACUAAUAAUAUACUGACACUGAUGGACGAAAGCGUGGGGAGCGAACAGGAUUAGAUACCCUGGUAGGAUAGCGU